Long non-coding RNA from Lates calcarifer (barramundi perch), 1276 nucleotides. RefSeq lists it as uncharacterized. The record is from RefSeq and is a predicted model, not a curated record. NCBI's taxonomy places the organism in Eukaryota, Metazoa, Chordata, Actinopteri, Centropomidae. The transcript is spliced from 3 exons.
CUGAAGGGCAGCAAAACGCAAACGGCAGCUCAUGGAAUGCUUCCGGUCGAUGCAGAGACGCCGAGAAAGCACAAGUCCAGCCUGUGAAUUUGUUUUAUUUAUACUUUGUUUUAAGUCAUGUAAUGGGACUCUUGGGCUCUUUUGCAAGUGCACUUGGUUUCUUCGUAAGCGCUGUUGAAAAGUUUGGCUUUGCGGCCGUUUUUGUCGAACACGAGUGAGGCUGGACGCUGAACAUAAAUGCGGCGUGAAGUCUACUUCCUCCAGGUCCUUACUUCAUCUGAGCCCAGGACCAGACGAGAACAGACAAGACGACCCACGAUGAGAAGCCUUCAGGUGAAUUCAAAGAAACCACUGGAUCCAGUGAAGGUAGGAAAAUAUUUUUAUUUCUUGUACGUCCACUUCUAAACUGUCCUUAUUCCUUUUUAGACCAUAUUUGAAUCACUGUAAACAGUAAUGUUUCGGUAGGAGUGUUAUCCAUACUACGUUCUAAAUUCAGCAAAACUUUUUAAUCAACUACUUUUCUAAACUGUUUACAUGUCUACAAAUCAGACAUUAUCAAGGUCACAAAUAGUGGCAAUUUUGUGACCCUGUCUGAAGCUUCAAAACAGAUCAUGCAACAGAAACUUUUUUUUUCAUAAACAAAGCAGUAAUUAUAAUAUAUUGUAUUAGUAUUAUAGAAAUAUAAUUGGAAAACAUUUUUAUACAGAGAAACAAAAUCCAUGUUAAUAAUUACAAGAAGACAGAAAAGUAGAUUUGUAGUAACACAAGUUAAAAUCCAAUCAUUACUAUUAAAAUUUUUUAAUACUAAUUAUUUUCUAUUCUAAUAAUUCAAUUUUCAUUUACCUUUGUAAUGUCCAUGUAACUGAAAAAAUCAUUUAUUCAUUAUGUGAUUAUUUAUUGUAGAAAAUUAUAUUUAGUGUAAUUAUUACUUCUACCAUAUGGUUUUUGUUUCCAUCAUUUCUUUUGAAGCUUCAGACAGGGACAUAAUCAUGUUCACUACUGUGAUAAUGAUUGAUCUGUAGACAUGUACAUGUAAAGAGUUUAGAAAGUAGUUGAUUAAAAAGUUUUGCUGCAUUUAUGUAGUAGCAAUACUCCUACUAAACAUUGCAAUUAACUGAUUACAGUGAUUCAAAUGUGCUAUAAAAGGAAAUAAGGACAGUUUAGAACUGGAACAGUAGAUUUAUUAAAUCAGUUUCAGUUAUUAACAUGUGUUCUGUCUCCGCAGGAGGAGGAGGAGGAGGAGACGGAGACGGCAACGACAAGUGAAGCUCUGGAC